CCUACGUGAGGCAGCAGUGAGGAAUAUUGGUCAAUGGGCGCUAGCCUGAACCAGCCAAGUAGCGUGAAGGAUGACUGCCCUAGGGGUUGUAAACUUCUUUUAUAUGGGAAUAAAGUGCAGUACGUAUACUGCUUUGCAUGUACCUUAUGAAUAAGGAUCGGCUCACUCCGUGCCAGCAGCCGCGGUAAUACGGAGGAUGCGAGCGUUAACCGGAUUUAUUUGGUUUAAAGGGAGCGUAGGCGGGUUUUUAAGUCAGUUGGGAAAGUUUGGGGCUCAACCCUACAAGUGCAGUUGAUACUGGCAGGCUUGAGUGCGGCAGAGGUAGGCGGAAUUCGUGGUGUAGCGGUGAAAUGCUUAGAUAUCACGAAGAACUCCGAUUGCGAAGGCAGCCUGCUGGACUGUAACUGACGCUGAUGCACGAAAGUGUGGGUAUCAAACAGGAUUAGAUACCCGGGUAGUC
Molecule: ribosomal RNA, 460 nt
Filed under: uncultured bacterium
Lineage: Bacteria
Description: partial 16S ribosomal RNA
Rfam family: Bacterial small subunit ribosomal RNA
Source: RNAcentral